ACACCCCUCAAGCCCCCGGGCUUGGCGUUGGGGAUCGGGAACAGCGGAGUCGGCCCCCCCCCUCGGGGGGGACCGUCGAAGCCCCCGUCCCCCAAAUGCAUCGGCGGUCACGCCGCGGCCUCUUGCGCGUAGUAGCUAACACCUCGCGCCGGAGCCCGUCGUGGUCCACGCCGUAAAACCCCCGACUUUUUAAAG
Molecule: unclassified non-coding RNA, 195 nt
Filed under: uncultured Thelonectria
Lineage: Eukaryota; Fungi; Ascomycota; Sordariomycetes; Hypocreales; Nectriaceae
Description: sequence contains ITS2
Source: RNAcentral